Molecule: transfer RNA, 70 nt
Filed under: Camelus bactrianus (Bactrian camel)
Lineage: Eukaryota; Metazoa; Chordata; Mammalia; Artiodactyla; Camelidae
Also listed under: 2 other names
Rfam family: tRNA
About the family: Transfer RNA (tRNA) molecules are approximately 80 nucleotides in length. Their secondary structure includes four short double-helical elements and three loops (D, anti-codon, and T loops).
Source: Rfam by way of RNAcentral
GGGUACAGCUCGGUGGUAGAGUGCAUGGUUAGUAUGCAUGAUGUCCUGGGUUCAAUUCCCAGUGCUGCCA